GGACCCGCACAAGUAGUGGAGCAUGUGGUUUAAUUCGAAGAUACGCGCAGAACCUUACCAACACUUGACAUGUUCGUCGCGACUUUAAGAGAUUAAAGUUUUCGGUUCGGCCGGACGAAACACAGGUGCUGCAUGGCUGUCGUCAGCUCGUGUCGUGAGAUGUUGGUUAAGUCCCGCAACGAGCGCAACCCUCACUUUUAGUUGCCAUCAUUAGGUUGGGCACUCUGAAAGAACUGCCAGUGAUAAGCUGGAGGAAGGUGGGGAUGACGUCAAGUCCUCAUGGCCCUUACGUGUUGGGCUACACACGUGCUACAAUGGUAUCUACAACAGGAAGCAAAACUGCGAAGUUAAGCAAA
RNAcentral lists this ribosomal RNA (356 nucleotides) under uncultured bacterium. RNAcentral describes it as "bacterial SSU rRNA". It matches the Rfam family "Bacterial small subunit ribosomal RNA", at positions 917 to 1271 of the family's 1533-position model. The record is from RNAcentral.